This is a long non-coding RNA of Chrysemys picta bellii (western painted turtle), 1583 nucleotides long. The record is from Ensembl. NCBI's taxonomy places the organism in Eukaryota, Metazoa, Chordata, Testudines, Emydidae.
CACUGUUUUUAUGGAAAGGAUUCUUUACAACAAGUUUCCUUAUCACAGAUCAAAUUGCUUGCAAGAGAAAGCUUGCUGAUGGGGUCAGUGAGGAUUAUAAACCAAUAACGUGGACAUUAUAGCUACAAAUGGUGCCGUAUAUUUUGACUCUUCUCCAGAAUAUCCAGCAGUAACCGGAGGUUUAUUUUCAUUAUGCCUUCAUCUAAAAAUGUCAGCAGUGCUUUCUGUGUCAUCUUUUUUUGUUUAGAUAUAUCACUAGAGGGAGAGUAGUGAAAACAGUUCACACUAAGUAAAUGUUUAUGUGGGUGACCGUUUAUGUCAUUAUACUUUAUUUUAAAAUCUUUCUUCAAAGUUAAAUAAAAUAUCAAAUAGGCUGAUUAGAAAACAGUAUGUCAUUCUCAAUUUGCCUUUCCUUGUGGACAAAGGAUUUUUUUUCCCAUUGGACUCCAGCCUAAAAUGAAACAGCGCUAGAACAAAGGUCAAGAACUUGGAAGAAUUCAUUCGGGGGAACCAGCAUCAGUCAAACAUCAGGCUACAAACAAUGGCAUUUCAGAGUCAUGUACUGUAUUACUGACAGUUAUCUUUCUGUAAUAUACACAGGUUUUUGGAAUGCAACCCACACAGUAGUCACUAUUUCCCCAGCCAGGAUUGUUGAGCCCGCCAUUCACCACCCUAAGAAUGAUAAUAUGCUAACAGAGUGUGUGCAGCACUCACCAAAACCCUGAGAGAUGACAGUCACCGGUGGCUUCCCAGGACACUAAAUAGGAAGAAGUAGUGACAUGACUCAGUAACACCAAGAGCCACAUUGUGAGAGUUGAAAACUGCGUGGGGCAUGCAAUGAAAGCAGCGAAGCAGCAGGGGCAACACUAUCUAUGGACAAGGACAGUUAGAUUACAGAUUUAACACACACACAAAAUUACGCAGCAACAGCGAGAUGGCUGGAAACCUUGGAAAACCACCAACUGAACAGAACGUCAGUGUUUGGAGAGUCCUGUUUGGGAGCUGGCCACAGAUAGCGUGCAGUAAACUGUUGCCAGACGUGUUGCUUAUUGAUUUUUUCUGAAGAGCCCAUUUGAACUGGAUGUGCAUUCUGAAUCCCCAAUGAGAGUCCCAGCUGGAGGAGGCAAUUCUGGAGGCACUAUACAUAUUACACUUUAGGACUCCAGGGACCGGGAUAGGUUUUUACAAGCAGCUAAAAUGAAGAAAGAGAUCAUAUGGGAAGGUGCUAGGCUCCUAUCGUUUCCGGACAUAAGUCCUAUAACCCAGGGCAAAAGGGAAGAAUUAACUGUGGUUUUAAAAAAAAAAAAGUUGUGAUAUAAAAUGUGUCUGCAUGAGUCUCUCUAGCCUGCCAAACGGCACAUUGUGCACAGUGAGAAAACUGACAUCUUUCAGAAAGUAGACGCAGCUUACAACAAGUCACUGUCGAAAGCAAAGAAGACAAGAGAGAAACUGUAAGAAGUUAGUCAGAGACUAAGGCCUGUGAUUUACCGCCCACCCCAGGGCUUGGAGUGCUGAAACUCUCCCUAUAAAUUAUAAAUGUAUAUAAAUUAAUAAAUGAACACAGUCACCACUUCUGGGGACCA